UUGUAGCAAUACAAGGCAUACGGCUCAGUAACGCGUAGUCAACCUAACCUAUGGACGGGAAUAACCUCGGGAAACUGAGAAUAAUGCCCGAUAGAACACUAUACCUGGAAUGGUUUGUGUUCCAAAUGAUUUAUCGCCAUAGGAUGGGACUGCGGCCUAUCAGUUUGUUGGUGAGGUAAUGGCCCACCAAGACUAUUACAGGUACGGGCUCUGAGAGGAGUAGCCCGGAGAUGGGUACUGAGACACGGACCCAGGCCCUAUGGGGCGCAACAGGCGAGAAAACUUUGCAAUGUGCGAAAGCACGACAAGGUUAAUCCGAGUGGUUUGUGCUAAACAAACCUUUUGUUAGUCCUAGAAACACUAACGAAUAAGGGGUGGGCAAGUUCUGGUGUCAGCCGCCGCGGUAAAACCAGCACCUCAAGUGGUCAGGAUGAUUAUUGGGCCUAAAGCAUCCGUAGCCGGCUCUGUAAGUUUUCGGUUAAAUCUGUACGCUUAACGUACAGGCUGCCGGGAAUACUGCAGAGCUAGGGAGUGGGAGAGGUAGACGGUACUCGGUAGGAAAGUGGUAAAAUGCUUUGAUCUAUCGAUGACCACCUGUGGCGAAGGCGGUCUACCAGAACACGUCCGACGGUGAGGGAUGAAAGCUGGGGGAGCAAACCGGAUUAGAUACCCGGGUAGUCCCCAGCUGUAAACUAUGCAAACUCAGUGAUGCAUUGGCUUGUGGCCAAUGCAGUGCCUGCAGGGAAGCCGUUAAGUUUGCCGCCUGGGGAAGUACGUACGCAAGUAUGAAACUUAAAGGAAUUGGCGGGGGAGCACCACAAGGGGUGAAGCCUGCGGUUCAAUUGGAGUCAACGCCAGAAAUCUUACCCGGAGAGACAGCAGAAUGAAGGUCAAGCUGAAGACUUUACCAGACAAGCUGAGAGGUGGUGCAUGGCCGUCGCCAGCUCGUGUUGUGAGAUGUCCUGUUAAGUCAGGUAACGAGCGAGAUCCCUGCCUCUAGUUGCCACCAUUACUCUCAGGAGUAGUGGGGCGAAUUAGCGGGACCGCCGCAGUUAAUGCGGAGGAAGGAAGGGGCCACGGCAGGUCAGUAUGCCCCGAAACUCUGGGGCCACACGCGGGCUGCAAUGGUAGCGACAAUUGGUUUCGAAUCCGAAAGGAUGAGGUAAUCCACAAACGCUACCACAGUUAUGACUGAGGGCUGCAACUCGCCCUCACGAAUAUGGAAUCCC
Molecule: ribosomal RNA, 1229 nt
Filed under: uncultured marine archaeon
Lineage: Archaea
Description: bacterial SSU rRNA
Rfam family: Archaeal small subunit ribosomal RNA
Source: RNAcentral